This 253-nucleotide ribosomal RNA is filed under the name uncultured bacterium. RNAcentral describes it as "partial 16S ribosomal RNA". It matches the Rfam family "Bacterial small subunit ribosomal RNA", at positions 524 to 776 of the family's 1533-position model. The record is from RNAcentral.
GACGAACCGUACGAACGUUAUUCGGAAUCACUGGGCUUAAAGGGUGCGUAGGCGGCUUGUUAAGUAGGGUGUGAAAUCCCCCGGCUCAACCGGGGAAUUGCGCCCUAAACUGGCGAGCUGGAGUGAGAUAGGGGUGUGUGGAACUUCCAGUGGAGCGGUGAAAUGUGUUGAUAUUGGAAGGAACGCCAGUGGCGAAAGCGACACACUGGGUCUCAACUGACGCUGAGGCACGAAAGCCAGGGGAGCAAACGGG